GACAGGUGUGUAAUCAGAUUAAUGAUGUAGGACAGGUGAUGUAGGACAGGUGUGUUAUCAUGUAGGACAGGUGAGUUAUCGGAUUAAUGAUGUAGGACAGGUGUGUUAUCAGAUUAAUGAUGUAGGACAGGUGAUGUAGGACAGGUGUGUUAUCAUGUAGGACAGGUGAGUUAUCGGAUUAAUGAUGUAGGACAGGUUAUGUAGGACAGGUGUGUAAUCAGAUUAAUGAUGUAGGACAGGUGAUGUAGGACAGGUGUGUUAUCAUGUAGGACAGGUGAGUUAUCGGAUUAAUGAUGUAGGACAGGUGUGUUAUCAGAUCAAUGAUGUAGGACAGGUGAUGUAGGACAGGUGAGUUAUCGGAUUAAUGAUGUAGGACAGGUUAUGUAGGACAGGUGUGUUAUCAGAUUAAUGAUGUAGGACAGGUGUGUUAUCAUGUAGGACAGGUGAGUUAUCGGAUUAAUGAUGUAGGACAGGUGUGUUAUCAGAUUAAUGAUGUAGGACAGGUGAUGUAGGACAGGUGUGUUAUCAUGUAGGACAGGUGAGUUAUCGGAUUAAUGAUGUAGGACAGGUGUGUUAUCAGAUUAAUGAUGUAGGACAGGUGAGUUAU
Non-coding RNA from Labrus bergylta (ballan wrasse), 607 nucleotides. The record is from RefSeq and is a predicted model, not a curated record. NCBI's taxonomy places the organism in Eukaryota, Metazoa, Chordata, Actinopteri, Labriformes, Labridae.